UUUGGCACCUUAAUAAACAUUGGGGCGCCUAUGUGGUAACACAUAAGCCUGGUUAUUCAUAAACGCGGUUAGAGAACGCGUGCUAAUAAUAAAUUUACUAGUUAAUAUCGGUGGACCCCUUCGACUCGAACAGUCGCUCAGGGCAAUACCGAGGGAAUCCUUCGACGCAAAAUUAAUUUUUUGCUCAGGACCCGUAUCGACUUGUGUUUGGUUUCAAACGAACACAGAUGGGAUGCUCUAUCCGCCAGUUGGCGGAUAAAUUUAUAGCUACCAUAAUUAGACUAGCUCCUUUGAAAUGAUGCAAAGGAUGAAGGUAUAGUCAAGUCUUGUGGUAACACAAGA
This 342-nucleotide non-coding RNA is filed under the name Candidatus Levybacteria bacterium GW2011_GWA2_40_8. The record is from RNAcentral. Lineage: Bacteria; Candidatus Levyibacteriota.